Molecule: microRNA, 22 nt
Filed under: Medicago truncatula (barrel medic)
Lineage: Eukaryota; Viridiplantae; Streptophyta; Magnoliopsida; Fabales; Fabaceae
Description: mtr-miR2622
Source: miRBase by way of RNAcentral
UUUGUGUGCCAUCGUGAACUUA